This 422-nucleotide ribosomal RNA is filed under the name uncultured bacterium. Its description in RNAcentral is "partial 16S ribosomal RNA". It matches the Rfam family "Bacterial small subunit ribosomal RNA", at positions 360 to 774 of the family's 1533-position model. The record is from RNAcentral.
AAUAUUGGACAAUGGGCGAAAGCCUGAUCCAGCCAUGCCGCGCGUGUGAAGAAGGUCUUCGGAUUGUAAAGCACUUUAAGUUGGGAGGCAGGGCAGUAAGUUAAUACCUUGCUGUCUUGACGUUACCGACAGAAUAAGCACCGGCUAACCUCGUGCCAGCAGCCGCGGUAAUACGAAGGGUGCAAGCGUUAAUCGGAAUUACUGGGCGUAAAGCGCGCGUAGGUGGUUUGAUAAGUUGGAAGUGAAAGCCCGGGGCUCAACCUGGGAAAUGAUUUCAAAACGGGCAAGCUAGAGUAUGGCAGAGGGUGGUGGAGUUUCCUGUGUAGCGGUGAAAUGCGUAGAUAUAGGAAGAAACACCAGAGGCGAAGGCGACCACCUGGGCUAAUACUGACACUGAGGUGCGAAAGCGUGGGGAGCAAACA